Vidua macroura (Pin-tailed whydah) is the source of this 762-nucleotide long non-coding RNA. RefSeq lists it as uncharacterized. The record is from RefSeq and is a predicted model, not a curated record. Lineage: Eukaryota; Metazoa; Chordata; Aves; Passeriformes; Viduidae. The transcript has 3 exons.
GCAGCGAGCGACAGCAAGAGGGAGGGGAGGCGGUGGUGCACGGGCAGCGCCGCCGCUGCCAGGUCCUCAGGGGCUCUCGGCCGCUGCCCGGGGCUCCGCGGGGCUCCGGUGUCGGGGUAAUGUACCAAAACCGGGGAGCAGCAGAUAGAGAAGGUGAAGGAGAGCCGGGCUCCAGCGACUCCCCGCGACGGAAGGGGCACGGGAGCGCCCCGGGAGCUCCCAAGUUGCGCGCCCCCCGGCUCUCCACACCUCUCCCAUGCCAUGCCACAGCCGGCCAGCCAGCCCCAGUGUCCCGGCCCCGGGCGAGGAACCGCGUAUUCAACAGGAACCCCGCAGCAGUAGCCCCGGCCCCGCUGCGAGGGGGAACGCGCUGCUGACAUUUCUGCCGCCACUUCAUUUCCAGGCCCUGGGAGAGUCCCCUAUAAAGGUCCCGGGGCGUGCGUGGGACAGUGAGACGUGGCACUGCGGGGCUGUAGCGGGGCGCGUAGGCAUCUCCCCCAGCCAAUUCCCUGAACUGAUACUUUCAAAAUGAAGGGGAAGAUAGGAGUGAGAAUGAAGAAUGCCUUGGAGAAAUCCAGUCAUAAAGUUUGAAGAGUAGAAGUAAUAGGAAAUAUUAAUAACGCUGGUCUCUUGCACAGGUCAGAAUUUAGACAGAAAUGAUGUAACGUUACAAACCUGAGACAUAAGGGCUAUUAAAUUUGAAUCAAGAUUCACAGAUUUAUAUAUUAAUACAUAAUAAAAAUAUUUGCUUUUUUCCCUCCA